AUUGAACGCUAGCGGGAUGCUUUACACAUGCAAGUCGAACGGCAGCGCGGACUUUGGCCUGGCGGCGAGUGGCGAACGGGUGAGUAAUGUAUCGGAACGUGCCCAGUAGCGGGGGGAUAACUACGCGAAAGCGUGGCUAAUACCGCAUACGCCCUACGGGGAAAGGGGGGGAGUUCUUCGGAACCUCUCACUAUUGGAGCGGCCGAUAUCGGAUUAGCUAGUUGGUGGGGUAAAGGCCUACCAAGGCGACG
This 251-nucleotide ribosomal RNA is filed under the name uncultured bacterium. Its description in RNAcentral is "partial 16S ribosomal RNA". It matches the Rfam family "Bacterial small subunit ribosomal RNA", at positions 30 to 278 of the family's 1533-position model. The record is from RNAcentral.